GGGAGUCUGGCCGAGUGGUUAAGGCGUUGUGUUUAGGUCUUCAUUCAUACUUGAACCGCAAUGGGUACGCCCGCGCAGGUUCGAUCCCUGCGGCUCCCA
Molecule: non-coding RNA, 99 nt
Organism: Stachybotrys elegans
Lineage: Eukaryota; Fungi; Ascomycota; Sordariomycetes; Hypocreales; Stachybotryaceae
Source: the annotation of a GenBank genome assembly